RNAcentral lists this long non-coding RNA (427 nucleotides) under Equus caballus (horse). RNAcentral describes it as "lncRNA (ENSECAG00000044487.1)". The record is from RNAcentral. Lineage: Eukaryota; Metazoa; Chordata; Mammalia; Perissodactyla; Equidae.
UUUCAAUAUUGUUCUGCUGAAACAUAAUGGAAUCCCCACAGCUAUAAGAUCCUUAGGCUCUCAGGAGUUCAGUGAAGAGCCACUUGAUGUAGCCGCACAGGCUGUCACGGAAGGGUCCUGGGGGCUGCGGAGUUAAUGGAGCCUGGAAGUCCACUGCAGCUGUGGUCAAGCACGGCACCAGAGUCACAGUUUUCUUGCUGGUAAUGAGCUGAGGUUGCUCCAUGGUCUAAAACAAAUCCAAGGUAUGAUGCUACUUGAUGCAAAUCAUGGCUACUGUGAGCGGCAUACACGCGAGGCGGACUCUGGGCCUGGAAUCUGCUGAAGCACCAGCUUCACUGAGUCGAUUUUGAGUUUUCCCUUUGAGAGCCACUGCUGAGAGGGCACAGGAUGUGGGCAGAACUCUUAGCACCCUUGGAUUACGGUUCCU